UCAUUUUAUGUUAUUAUAAGUAAGAAAUUAGCAUUCAAUAUAUGCCACAAUAUAUCUUUGUUGAAGUGUAAGUUUGUUCCACUUUUCUAUUUUUCAUUUUCCAACUUUUAUUUUAGGUUCGGGGGUACAUAUGAAAGUUUGUUACAAGGAUAAAUUGUAUGGGGCUGGGAUAACUGCUAGCCAUAUGCAGAAGAUUGACACUGGAUCCCUUCCUUUUGCCAUAUAUGAAAAUCAACUCAACAUGCGUUAAAAAGUUAAAUGUAAAAUCUAAAACUAUAAAAACCCUAGAUAAUAUCACUAUUGAUGUUAACCUUGAUGUCCUGGCUUGAAAUAGCAUUUGUCAGUUUUUGCCACACUGUAAAGUUGCUCCUUUUUUCUCCAUUGCCAUACUAUACUCUUUGGAACAAAGUCACUAUGCACAGCCCACUAUUAAGGACAAAGUCUUCUAUUCUAGGCCUUCUGUCUUUCCAUAUGAACUUUAGAAUCCAUGUGUUAGCUUGGAUUCUAAAAUAGCUUGCUGGGAUGUUGAUUGAGAUUGCAUUGUAUCUAUAGGUCAAGUUGGAAAGAACUGACAUCUUAACAAUAUUUAAUCUUCUAGUCUAUGAAUCAGAAUAUCUCUCCAUUUAUUUAAAUCUUAGACUUUCUUCAUCUGUGUUUUCUAAUUCAUGCUUAUAAAUCCUAUACAUAUGUUGUUAUGUUUAUACCUGCGUAUGUAAUUU
Molecule: long non-coding RNA, 719 nt
Filed under: Pan troglodytes (chimpanzee)
Lineage: Eukaryota; Metazoa; Chordata; Mammalia; Primates; Hominidae
Description: long non-coding RNA NONPTRT000409
Source: RNAcentral